Molecule: ribosomal RNA, 460 nt
Filed under: uncultured bacterium
Lineage: Bacteria
Description: partial 16S ribosomal RNA
Rfam family: Bacterial small subunit ribosomal RNA
Source: RNAcentral
CCUACGGGAGGCAGCAGUGAGGAAUAUUGGUCAAUGGCCGUAAGGCUGAACCAGCCAAGUCGCGUGAAGGAAGAAGGAUCUAUGGUUUGUAAACUUCUUUUAUAGGGGAAUAAAGGUAUCCACGUGUGGAUAUUUGCAUGUAACCUAUGAAUAAGCAUCGGCUAACUCCGUGCCAGCAGCCGCGGUAAUACGGAGGAUGAGAGCGUUAUCCGGAUUUAUUGGGUUUAAAGGGUGCGUAGGUUGUUUUUUAAGUCAGCGGUGAAAGUUUGUGGCUCAACCAUAAAAUUGCCGUUGCAACUGGAAGACGUGAUUGUGUUUGAGGUAGGCGGAAUGCGUGGUGUAGCGGUGAAAUGCAUAGAUAUCACGCAGAACUCCGAUUGCGAAGGCAGCUUACUAAGCCAUAACUGACACUGAAGCACGAAAGCGUGGGGAUCAAACAGGAUUAGAUACCCUUGUAGUC